AUUGAACGCUGGCGGCAGGCCUAACACAUGCAAGUCGAACGGUAACAGGAAGCAGCUUGCUGCUUUGCUGACGAGUGGCGGACGGGUGAGUAAUGUCUGGGAAACUGCCUGAUGGAGGGGGAUAACUACUGGAAACGGUAGCUAAUACCGCAUAAUGUCGCAAGACCAAAGAGGGGGACCUUCGGGCCUCUUGCCAUCGGAUGUGCCCAGAUGGGAUUAGCUAGUAGGUGGGGUAAAGGCUCACCUAGGCGACGAUCCCUAGCUGGUCUGAGAGGAUGACCAGCCACACUGGAACUGAGACACGGUCCAGACUCCUACGGGAGGCAGCAGUGGGGAAUAUUGCACAAAGGGCGCAAGCCUGAUGCAGCCAUGCCGCGUGUAUGAAGAAGGCCUUCGGGUUGUAAAGUACUUUCAGCGGGGAGGAAGGGAGUAAAGUUAAUACCUUUGCUCAUUGACGUUACCCGCAGAAGAAGCACCGGCUAACUCCGUG
Molecule: ribosomal RNA, 490 nt
Filed under: uncultured bacterium
Lineage: Bacteria
Description: partial 16S ribosomal RNA
Rfam family: Bacterial small subunit ribosomal RNA
Source: RNAcentral